CCUACGGGUGGCAGCAGUGGGGAAUAUUGCACAAUGGGCGCAAGCCUGAUGCAGCCAUGCCUCGUGUGUGAAGAAGGCCUUCGGGUUGUAAAGCACUUUCAGCGGGGAGGAAGGCGGUGAGGUUAAUAACCUCAUCGAUUGACGUUACCCGCAGAAGAAGCACCGGCUAACUCCGUGCCAGCGGCCGCGGUAAUACGGAGGGUGCAAGCGUUAAUCGGAAUUACUGGGCGUAAAGCGCACGCAGGCGGUCUGUCAAGUCGGAUGUGAAAUCCCCGGGCUCAACCUGGGAACUGCAUUCGAAACUGGCAGGCUAGAGUCUUGUAGAGGGGGGUAGAAUUCCAGGUGUAGCGGUGAAAUGCGUAGAGAUCUGGAGGAAUACCGGUGGCGAAGGCGGCCCCCUGGACAAAGACUGACGCUCAGGUGCGAAAGCGUGGGGAGCAAACAGGAUUAGAUACCCGUGUAGUC
RNAcentral lists this ribosomal RNA (465 nucleotides) under uncultured Klebsiella sp. RNAcentral describes it as "bacterial SSU rRNA". It matches the Rfam family "Bacterial small subunit ribosomal RNA", at positions 338 to 795 of the family's 1533-position model. The record is from RNAcentral. Lineage: Bacteria; Pseudomonadati; Pseudomonadota; Gammaproteobacteria; Enterobacterales; Enterobacteriaceae.